RNAcentral lists this ribosomal RNA (626 nucleotides) under Papiliotrema flavescens. Its description in RNAcentral is "LSU rRNA". It matches the Rfam family "Eukaryotic large subunit ribosomal RNA", at positions 56 to 661 of the family's 3401-position model. The record is from RNAcentral. Lineage: Eukaryota; Fungi; Basidiomycota; Tremellomycetes; Tremellales; Rhynchogastremaceae.
CAAGUGAUCCCCUCUCAAGUGCUUGAUACGGUCCCACGGCAAGUGAACCGGGAAAAGCUCAAAUUUCAAAUCUGGCGUGCUCAGUGCGUCCGAGUUGUAAUCUAAAGAGGCGUUUUCCGUGCCGGACUGUGUCCAAGUCCCUUGGAACAGGGUAUCAAAGAGGGUGAUAAUCCCGUACUUGACACAAUGACCGGUGCUCUGUGAUAAGUCUUCUACGAGUCGAGUUGUUUGGGAAAGCAGCUCAAAAAGGGUGGUGAGUUCCAUCUAAAGCUAAAUAUUGGCGAGAGACCGAUAGCGAACAAGUACCGUGAGGGAAAGAUGAAAAGCACUUUGGAAAGAGAGUUAAACAGUACGUGAAAUUGUUAAAAGGGAAACGAUUGAAGUCAGUCGUGAAUGAGAGGCUCAGCCGGUUCUGCCGGUGUAUUCCCCUCAGUCGGGUCAACAUCAGUUUUGUUCGGUGGAUAAGGGCAGCUGGAAGGUAGCACCCUCGGGUGUGUUAUAGCCAGUUGUCGCAUACAUCGGAUGAGACUGAGGAAUGCAGCUCGCCGGGAUGGCCGGGGUUAGCCCACGUUCGAGCUUAGGAGGUUCCCAGACAUAAUGGCUUUAAACGACCCGUAGUGAGAACA